UUCUAGUUCCCGCCGUUAAGCUACAGUAUUUUGGUAUAUGACCCCCUGUAAACGAGGGGAAGAGGCAAACGAGCUUUCUUUCCUAUCACUAGGCUUGGCGCCCCAAUUAUGUGAGACUUGUGAACUGUUAAACUGGCACAAACCCUUUAGUAUACAGGCUCAAGCUAUUCCUGUAGCGUUACAAGGAAAAGAUAUUAUUGGUCUCGCCGAGACAGGUUCUGGAAAAACCGGCUCAUUUGCUUUACCUGUUUUACAUUUCUUACUUGAAAAGCCACAAGUGUGUUUUUGCUUGGUUCUUACGCCUACUAGGGAGCUUGCUUUUCAAAUUGCUGAGCAAUUCAAUGCUUUGGGAUCCUCGAUUGGAGUGAAGACUGCAGUCAUUGUUGGCGGGGUUAACAUGGUCGAGCAAGCCAUUACUCUUGCGAAAGGGCCGCACGUCGUGGUGGCAACUCCCGGCAGACUCGUCGAUCAUCUCGAAAACACAAAAGGAUUUACCUUAAAAAAGCUGAAAUUUUUGGUGCUGGACGAAGCUGAUCGCAUGCUCACGUUGGAUUUCGGUGAGGAUCUGAACAAAAUUAUUUCUGUCAUUCCCAAAGAAAGAAGAACCUUUUUAUAUUCUGCUACUAUGACGGAAAAAGUAGCCAAGUUGCAGAAAGCGUCUUUGAAGAAUCCUGUAAAGAUACAAGUUUCCACGAAGUACCAAACAGUGGCUAAACUUAUACAGAAUUACAUGUUCAUGCCAGCCAAGCGAAAAGAUGUUUACCUCACGUGGCUUAUUAACGAAAGUUCGGGGAAUUCGAUUAUGGUGUUCGUGUCUACAUGUGCAACUGCUCAGCGGCUAGCGCUUAUGCUAAACAAUCUCGGCCUUCCUGCUAUCCCUCUUCACGGGAAUUUAAGUCAACCGAAACGUUUGGGAGCCUUAAAUAAAUUUAAAAGUUCUGGAUCUUCAGUGCUGAUUGCCACUGACGUCGCCAGCAGGUUCUUUUUACACCUUUAUUGUUCUGUUUUAGAAGAAGGUACCAUCUUAUUUAAGGGGUUUGGAUAUUCCGGAUGUUGAUUUGGUCAUUAAUUAUGACGUUCCGCUGCACUCGAAGGACUACAUUCACCGUGUGGGAAGGACAGCACGUGCGGGAAAAGCUGGACGGGCAGUAACCUUUGUCAGUCAGUACGAUGUUGAGUGUUUCCAGAGGAUCGAACUGCUGAUCAAUAGAAAA
Zophobas morio is the source of this 1214-nucleotide RNA transcript. It is a transcript of the gene named probable ATP-dependent RNA helicase DDX47, with no coding region annotated. The transcript has 12 exons. The record is from RefSeq and is a predicted model, not a curated record. Lineage: Eukaryota; Metazoa; Arthropoda; Insecta; Coleoptera; Tenebrionidae.